Long non-coding RNA from Diceros bicornis minor, 1030 nucleotides. RefSeq lists it as uncharacterized. Lineage: Eukaryota; Metazoa; Chordata; Mammalia; Perissodactyla; Rhinocerotidae. The record is from RefSeq and is a predicted model, not a curated record. The transcript has 3 exons.
CUCCCUAGAGCCUCUGAAGCCUAACCUAAGAGGGAAAAAGGAAGGGAAGAAGAGGAAGAAGAAUGAAGAAAUAGAAGGCAAGAGAUAAAAGAAGAUUGAAGAGGAGGAAGAAAAGAAGAAAGAAGAAUCAGGAAAAGAGAGAAGAGCUACACCUCUAGGUCCUGACUGAAUUGGAUGCCUUGAUAAUAAUUGUGAUGAAUGAAUGAAGAGUUCUGGUUAAUAGAAGUCUGCUAGGCGCAGCAGGUGAGAAGUGACCUCUAGUAGUAAAUCAAGCAUCUUUGGAAGCUGCUUCAAGUCCUUCACCUGGGCGACCCUUGGGAUUGGAGUCAUAGCCCGGACACCUGGGAGAAUACGUGAUAUUGGAAACCAAAUUUUAAAAGGGUACCGUUGUACCUCACCUGGAAAGGAAACUAUGUUCUUGUUUUUGUUUUGGGAUAGAGACUAAAACUCAAAGAAGGUUAUAAUCAAGUGAACCUUUAAGGCAUGGCUCUUGAACUUGAGCAUUAUCAGAAUCACCUGGAGGACUUGUUGCAACACAGACUGCUGGCCCUACCCCCAGAGUUUCUGAAUCACUAGGUCUGAGGAUGGCCAGAGAAUUGUAGUUAAUCUGCUCCCAGGUGCUGCUACUGCUGCUGCUGGUUCAGGGACCACACUUUGAGAACCAGUGCUUUAAGGAAUACCGAAUAAAAGGAUCUCUCUUCCUCACAGAAAACUGUGAUUUGUUCUCAGUGGAAUCUAAUCAGUAGGUUUAUAUGCAGUUAAAAUUAAAAAAAUGAGCAAUGACCACUACUGUUAAUUUGGAACAGUCAAACUAACCUCACAAAAGACUUCUGCAAUGGAAAAAACGGGAAGCUCUUUCCCCGGUACACAUUGGCUUUAUUGGCUGCGGUCUUAGUCAAAGCACAGAAUGAACCUUGGCCAGCAGCAGGAGGUCUCUCAAGCUUGCAGCUGUUGGGAGGAGGCUCCUCUGCCAGUGACUCUGGGUGGGAAGUGCCUUGUUAGAACUGAUGCAUCUAUUUUAUUCAGCUCA